RNAcentral lists this ribosomal RNA (278 nucleotides) under uncultured bacterium. RNAcentral's name for it is "partial 16S ribosomal RNA". It matches the Rfam family "Bacterial small subunit ribosomal RNA", at positions 506 to 784 of the family's 1533-position model. The record is from RNAcentral.
UGCCAGCAGCCGCGGUAAUACGGAGGGGGCGAGCGUUAUUCGGAAUCACUGGGCAUAAAGGGCAUGUAGGCGGCGCUAUAAGUCAGUGGUGAAAUCCCUCGGCUCAACCGAGGAACUGCCAUUGAUACUGUAGUGCUAGAGUGCGGGAGGGGCAGACGGAUUCCAGGUGGAGCGGUGAAAUGCGUAGAUAUCUGGAGGAACGCCAGGGGCGAAAGCGGUCUGCUGGCCCGCAACUGACGCUGAGGUGCGAAAGCUAGGGGAGCAAACAGGAUUAGAUA